CAGCCGUAAACGAUGCGCGUUAGGUGUAUCGACGACCACGAGUCGUCGAGGUGCCGAAGGGAAACCGUGAAACGUGCCGCCUGGGAAGUACGGUCGCAAGGCUGAAACUUAAAGGAAUUGGCGGGGGAGGCACCACAACAGGUGGAGCCUGCGGUUUAAUUGGACUCAACGCCGGAAAUACUCACCGGAUAAGACAGCAGAAUGAUUGCCGGGCUGAAGACUCUGCAUGACUAGCUGAGAGGUGGUGCAUGGC
This 253-nucleotide ribosomal RNA is filed under the name uncultured archaeon. RNAcentral's name for it is "partial 16S ribosomal RNA". It matches the Rfam family "Archaeal small subunit ribosomal RNA", at positions 748 to 998 of the family's 1478-position model. The record is from RNAcentral.